RNAcentral lists this ribosomal RNA (453 nucleotides) under uncultured bacterium. RNAcentral's name for it is "bacterial SSU rRNA". It matches the Rfam family "Bacterial small subunit ribosomal RNA", at positions 30 to 477 of the family's 1533-position model. The record is from RNAcentral.
AUUGAACGCUGGCGGCAUGCUUUACACAUGCAAGUCGAACGGUAACAGGCCUUCGGGUGCUGACGAGUGGCGAACGGGUGAGUAAUGCAUCGGAACGUGCCCAAUCGUGGGGGAUAACGUAGCGAAAGUUACGCUAAUACCGCAUAAGCCCUGAGGGGGAAAGUGGGGGACCGCAAGGCCUCACGCGAAUGGAGCGGCCGAUGUCAGAUUAGCUAGUUGGUGGGGUAAAGGCCCACCAAGGCGACGAUCUGUAGCGGGUCUGAGAGGAUGAUCCGCCACACUGGGACUGAGACACGGCCCAGACUCCUACGGGAGGCAGCAGUGGGGAAUUUUGGACAAUGGGCGCAAGCCUGAUCCAGCCAUGCCGCGUGCGGGACGAAGGCCUUCGGUUGUAACCGACUUCUAGCCGGAAAGAAAUACGCCGUUUUAACUACUAGACGGUGGAUGACGGUA